GAGGCUAUAGCUCAGUGGUAGAGCCCAUGCUUAGAGUGCAGAGGUCCUGGGUUCAAUCCCCGGCACCUCA
RNAcentral lists this transfer RNA (70 nucleotides) under Camelus ferus (Wild Bactrian camel). It matches the Rfam family "tRNA". Rfam says of the family: Transfer RNA (tRNA) molecules are approximately 80 nucleotides in length. Their secondary structure includes four short double-helical elements and three loops (D, anti-codon, and T loops). Lineage: Eukaryota; Metazoa; Chordata; Mammalia; Artiodactyla; Camelidae. The record is from Rfam by way of RNAcentral.